RNAcentral lists this ribosomal RNA (359 nucleotides) under uncultured bacterium. RNAcentral describes it as "bacterial SSU rRNA". It matches the Rfam family "Bacterial small subunit ribosomal RNA", at positions 30 to 391 of the family's 1533-position model. The record is from RNAcentral.
AUUGAACGCUGGCGGCAUGCCUUACACAUGCAAGUCGAACGGCAGCACGGGGGCAACCCUGGUGGCGAGUGGCGAACGGGUGAGUAAUGCAUCGGAACGUGCCCAGUAGUGGGGGAUAACUAGUCGAAAGAUUAGCUAAUACCGCAUACGACCUAUGGGUGAAAGCGGGGGACCGCAAGACCUCGCGCUAUUGGAGCGGCCGAUGUCUGAUUAGCUAGUUGGCGGGGAAAANCCCACCAAGGCUUCGAUCAGUAGCUGGUCUGAGAGGACGACCAGCCACACUGGGACUGAGACACGGCCAGACUCCUACGGGAGGCAGCAGUGGGGAAUUUUGGACAAUGGGCGCAAGCCUGAUCCAG